This 1388-nucleotide ribosomal RNA is filed under the name uncultured bacterium. RNAcentral describes it as "16S ribosomal RNA". It matches the Rfam family "Bacterial small subunit ribosomal RNA". The record is from RNAcentral.
GAGUUUGAUUCAUGGCUCAGGAUGAACGCUAGCGGCAUGCCUAACACAUGCAAGUCGAGGGGGAGGUUACUUUCUGGUGACUGAGACCGGCUUACGGGUGCGUAACUCGUAUACAAUCUGCCUUUCACUGGGGGAUAGCACCGAAAAAAUUUGGAUUAAUACCCCAUACUAUAUAGGGACAGGUAUCGUUUUUAUAUUAAAGCUACUGUGGUGAAAGAUGAAUAUGCUUUCUAUUAGCUAUUUGGACAGGUAACUGCUCCCCCAGGCCAUGAUAGAUACGGGUUCUGACAGGGAUGUCCCCCACACUGGUACUGAUAUACAGACCACACUCCUACGGGACGCAGCAGUGACGAAUAUUGGACAAUGGUCGGAAUACUGAUCCAUCCAUGCCACGUGCACGAUGAAAGUCUUAUGGAUUGUAAACUGCUUUUGUUAUGGAAGAAUAAAGACUACAUGUAGUUUGAUGACAGUACCUUAUGAAUAAGCAUCUGCUAACUCCGUGCCAGCUACCUCGGUAAUGCCGACGAUGCGAGCGUUAUCCUCGAAUCAUUGGGUUUAAAGGGUCUGUAGGCGGGCUUGUAAGUCAGAGGUGAAAGCGCUCAGCUCAACUGAGCAACUGCCUUUGAAACUGUUGGUCUUGAAUGGUUGUGAAGUAUUUGGAAUGUGUAGUGUAGCGGUGAAAUGCUUAGAUAUUACACAGAACACGGAUAGCGAACGCAUAUUACUAACAAUUAAUUGACGGUGAUGGAGGAAAGCGUGGGGAGCGAACAGGAUUAGAUACCCUGAUAGUCCACGCUGUAAACGAUGGAUACUAACUGUUUGGACGCGAGUUUGAGUGGGUAAGCGAAACUGAUAAGUAUCCCACCUGGGGAGUACGUUGGCAAGAAUGAAAUUCAAAGGAAUGGAGGGGGGCCCGCACAAGCGGUGGAGCAUGUGGUUUAAUUGGAUGAUACGGGAGGAACCUUACCAAGGUUUAAAUGGGGACUGACAGAGGUAGAGAUACCUUUUUCUUCGGACAGUUUUCAAGGUGCUGCAUGGUGGUGGUCAGCUCGUGCCUUGAGGGGUCAGGUUAAGUCUUAUAAAGAGCGCAACCCCUGCCAUUAGUUGCUAACGAGUUGAGUCGAGCCCUCUAAUGGGACUGCCGGUGCAAACCGAGAGGAAGGUGGGGAUGACGUCAAAUCAUCACGGCCCUUACAUCUUGGGCUACACACGUGCUACAAUGGCCGUUACAGAGAGCAGCCAGCGGGUGAGCAGGCGCGAAUCUAUAAAGACGGUCACAGUUUGGAUCGGAGUGUGCAACUUGACUCCGUGAAGCUGGAAUCGGUAGUUAUCGGAUAUCAGCCAUGCUCCGGUGAAAUACGUUUCCCGGGCCCUUGUUCACACCGCCC